AUUGAACGCUGGCGGCAUGCUUUACACAUGCAAGUCGAGCGGCAGCGCGGGGGCAACCUUGGCGGCGAGCGGCGAACGGGUGAGUAAUGCAUCGGAACGUAUCCUGUAGUGGGGAAUAACUCACCGAAAGGUGAGCUAAUACCGCAUAAGCUCUGAGGAGGGAAAAGCGGGGGGACCGAAAAGGCCUCGCGCUGCAGGAGCGGCCGAUGUCCGAUUAGCUAGUUGGUGAGGUAAAAGGCUCACCAAGGCGACGAUCGGUAGCUGGUCUGAGAGGAUGAUCAGCCACACUGGGACUGAGACACGGCCCAGACUCCUACGGGAGGCAGCAGUGGGGAAUUUUGGACAAUGGGGGAAACCCUGAUCCAGCCAUGCCGCGUGAGUGAAGAAGGCCUUCGGGUUGUAAAGG
This 406-nucleotide ribosomal RNA is filed under the name uncultured bacterium. RNAcentral describes it as "bacterial SSU rRNA". It matches the Rfam family "Bacterial small subunit ribosomal RNA", at positions 29 to 431 of the family's 1533-position model. The record is from RNAcentral.